UGGGCAUCCCAUAUGGGUGUGGGAACGGGUGCAUUGUGGGCACCUUGUGUAGUUCCAAUUCUAUCUCAUUAGGAGUCCUUCUUUCAUUAGUAUUAGACUGAUUCAAAGUAUAUUUGAAUUAGGAGUUAUAUACUUAUUAGAUCAUGAGAAUCAUUUAUAAAUAGAGAGGGUCUCUACCUAUGGAUGUAUAAGAAACAAAUCAGAAUG
RNAcentral lists this long non-coding RNA (207 nucleotides) under Elaeis guineensis (African oil palm). RNAcentral's name for it is "long non-coding RNA (EGUI_LNC040009)". Lineage: Eukaryota; Viridiplantae; Streptophyta; Magnoliopsida; Arecales; Arecaceae. The record is from RNAcentral.